UUUUUUUUAAUUAUUUUCUCUUUAUAACAGGAAAGUACCCCGUUCACAAAUCUAUCUUAAUCGUUGAAAAGUUUUUUUAUGAAAAAAUUUUUUAAUUAUUUUUUAAAAUUUUGUAAAUUUUUUCUCACAAUCAAGCACUGAUGAAUUCAUAAGAUGGAAGAAGAGAAUUAGUUUAUGCGAAACAGUGCUAAAAUCAUUGUGGCAGAAGUGAAAGGUAAUUAAAGAGCAGUCGUGAUCAAAGGCACUGUCGAAACCCUUUAUUUUUGGAAGACUUUCUAUGAUUCCAAAG
This 289-nucleotide long non-coding RNA is filed under the name Manihot esculenta (cassava). RNAcentral describes it as "long non-coding RNA (MESC_LNC006941)". The record is from RNAcentral. Lineage: Eukaryota; Viridiplantae; Streptophyta; Magnoliopsida; Malpighiales; Euphorbiaceae.